UGCACCCUACGGGGCGCAGCAGUGAGGAAUAUUGGUCAAUGGGCGCAAGCCUGAACCGGCCAAGUCGCGUGAGGGAAGACGGCCCUACGGGUUGUAAACCUCUUUUGCCGGGGAGCAAGCCUGAGCACGUGUGCCCAGGCGGAGAGUACCCGGAGAAAAAGCAUCGGCUAACUCCGUGCCAGCAGCCGCGGUAAUACGGAGGAUGCGAGCGUUAUCCGGAUUUAUUGGGUUUAAAGGGUGCGCAGGCGGAAUGUCAAGUCAGCGGUAAAAUUUCGGGGCUCAACCCCGUCGUGCCGUUGAAACUG
RNAcentral lists this ribosomal RNA (305 nucleotides) under uncultured bacterium. RNAcentral describes it as "bacterial SSU rRNA". It matches the Rfam family "Bacterial small subunit ribosomal RNA", at positions 333 to 635 of the family's 1533-position model. The record is from RNAcentral.